AGCAGUGGCCGGUGACAGUUCACAUCGUGGCCGCUCCAGGCUCAUCAGUUGAGAACUUACUAUGUGCUGGGCACUGUGUUAAGGAAAAUACAUAUUAGCAAACUCUUUCAACCAGCCAGUGUUGCGCUAAAGCUGCUGCUUGCCUCUUCCUUUUCAUGCUACCAAAGCGGAGUUCAGCACAACAGAAACAGAUGGACAGAAAGUUUCAGAAGACAUGGGAUUUUAAAAACCACCGAUCUGUUAGGAAACAGCCUUGUUUCCUCAUUUCCACGGAACAAUACUGUUCUGCAGGAUGACCAAGUGAACACUGCAAUUACUGGGAGGUUUUAUAGACACCAUAAAAUUGUAAAACUGCAGAGGUGAUUUCAGUAAUUUAUUGCUGGCUUCUUCAGCUCCCAGACCAAGUUGUAUACAGCCACUAAAUCUGAAGUCUCAUACAACGUUCAAAGGCACAGGAAUGUGAAACAUCGCGUUAUGCUCAGGGAAAUCCUUGUGAGUGGAGCAUCGAUGAAUGAGUUAAGAAGCAGUGGGAGGUCGGGCCAGAAAUGUUGGAAAGGCAACAAUCAGUGUGGCUUCGUGUACAGGAAACUCAUGGCUGGGUUUGAUUUCUCAUAACAGAGCCACAAAUGGGCUGUGUACAGACAUCUUUGGUCUUAAUAGGCAUGGAAUGAGGUCUGUCCUCUUCUAGUCAUUUCUGCCUCAAAAACAAACAGCUAAGCAGCACUUUAUUGCUGGCAUCUAACAGCCUUGGUCCUGAAUCAUUGGCCAUGCACCAUGCCUCAAAGAAUCUCAGCUUCUCAUUUUGUGAUGCAUCUUCCAGUUGAUACCUCAGCUGGCCACUUGUACUUCCUGUCUGACCCAGCUGUCCUCAGUCAACAUCCAGCCUUGCCCACCCGGCCCUCUGCAGACUCUGCUUUGGUCCAGAGUUAGGGAGCACUCCCCCUGGGUCACCAUAGACCCUGGGCCAUAAUUUGGUGGAGCACUCCAGAAAUGUAAAACCUUUUGGUCAAAUCUGACAGGUAUUCUAUUUCCAGGACAAAAUUAAUGAGAGAAUUUCUUUUUCUAUACUGAACUUUACUGCCAUGUUGUUAAGGAACUUCCAUAUGCUUAACUUUCUACUGUAUUGGCUGUAGUUGACAAUUUGGAAAACAACUUACUUAAAGAAAAUAGGGGCUUUAAAAAUCCUAUUUCUAAUAAUCAAGAAAGAGGCAUUUUUUUCCUUUAACUUUCCUAUUAAACUUUUUAACCACCCCAGUUUCAAGAAUCUUCAACAUACAAUUAGAUCUUUUAUUAUUUGGUGAUGUUGGGUGUCAGCAAUCUGUGCUUCUACAAAUAAAGCUAAAUGUUCAUCACAGCCACAUAUCACUGAUUUCUAAAUCCAGCUUCCUUUCCAGAUUCCCUUUCUACCCUCCUCUCUGCUGCUGUGUGUCCUGGGAGGCUGACCUGC
Molecule: long non-coding RNA, 1447 nt
Filed under: Homo sapiens (human)
Lineage: Eukaryota; Metazoa; Chordata; Mammalia; Primates; Hominidae
Description: HSALNT0321063
Source: RNAcentral